AUUGAACGCUGGCGGCAUGCUUUACACAUGCAAGUCGAACGGUAACAGGCCGCAAGGUGCUGACGAGUGGCGCACGGGUGAGUAAUGCAUCGGAACGUGCCCAGUCGUGGGGGAUAACUACUCGAAAGAGUAGCUAAUACCGCAUACGAUCUAUGGAUGAAAGCGGGGGACCGUAAGGCCUCGCGCGAUUGGAGCGGCCGAUGUCAGAUUAGGUAGUUGGUGGGGUAAAGGCUCACCAAGCCAACGAUCUGUAGCUGGUCUGAGAGGACGACCGGCCACACUGGGACUGAGACACGGCCCAGACUCCUACGGGAGGCAGCAGUGGGGAAUUUUGGACAAAGGGCGCAAGCCUGAUCCAGCAAUGCCGCGUGCAGGAAGAAGGCCUUCGGGUUGUAAACUGCUUUUGUACGGAACGAAACGGCUCUGGUUAAUACCCGGGGCUAAUGACGGUACCGUAAGAAUAAGCACCGGCUAACUACGUG
Molecule: ribosomal RNA, 482 nt
Filed under: uncultured bacterium
Lineage: Bacteria
Description: partial 16S ribosomal RNA
Rfam family: Bacterial small subunit ribosomal RNA
Source: RNAcentral